UUAAGCAUAUCAAUAAGCGGAGGAAAAGAAACUAACAAGGAUUCCCCUAGUAACUGCGAGUGAAGCGGGAAAAGCUCAAAUUUAAAAUCUGGUGGUCUUUGGCCAUCCGAGUUGUAAUUUAGAGAAGCGUCUUCCGCGCUGGACCGUGCAUAAGUCUCCUGGAAUGGAGCGUCAUAGAGGGUGAGAAUCCCGUCUUUGGCACGGACCCCCAGGGCUUCUGUGAGGCGCUCUCGAAGAGUCGAGUUGUUUGGGAAUGCAGCUCAAAAUGGGUGGUGAACUCCAUCUAAAGCUAAAUAUUGGCGAGAGACCGAUAGCGAACAAGUACCGUGAGGGAAAGAUGAAAAGCACUUUGGAAAGAGAGUGAAACAGUACGUGAAAUUGUUGAAAGGGAAACGCUUAAAGUCAGUCGCGUCGACCGAGACUCAGCCUCGCCUUGGCUUGGCGUACUUCUCGGCUGACGGGUCAGCAUCAAUUUUGAUUCUUGGAUAAUGGCGGGAGAAAGGUGGCACCUUUAUAGGUGUGUUAUAGUCUCCCGUCGCAUGCAAGGGUUGGGAUUGAGGAACUCAGCACGCACCUCUUGGUGUCGGGGCCUCGGCUCACGUUACGUGCUUAGGAUGUUGGCGUAAUGGCUUUAAACGACCCGUCU
This 646-nucleotide ribosomal RNA is filed under the name Russula sp. Its description in RNAcentral is "partial large subunit ribosomal RNA". It matches the Rfam family "Eukaryotic large subunit ribosomal RNA", at positions 34 to 654 of the family's 3401-position model. The record is from RNAcentral. Lineage: Eukaryota; Fungi; Basidiomycota; Agaricomycetes; Russulales; Russulaceae.